This 514-nucleotide ribosomal RNA is filed under the name uncultured bacterium. RNAcentral's name for it is "partial 16S ribosomal RNA". It matches the Rfam family "Bacterial small subunit ribosomal RNA", at positions 28 to 523 of the family's 1533-position model. The record is from RNAcentral.
GAUGAACGCUGGCGGCGUGCCUAAUACAUGCAAGUCGAGCGAACUGAUUAGAAGCUUGCUUCUAUGACGUUAGCGGCGGACGGGUGAGUAACACGUGGUCAACCUGCCUGUAAGACUGGGAUAACUCCGGGACACCGGAGCUAAUACCGGAUAACAUUUUCUCUUGCUUACGAGAAAAUUGAAAGAUGGUUUCGGCUAUCCCUUACAGAUGGGCCCGCGGCGCAGUAGCUAGUUGGUGAGGUAACGUCUCACCAAGGCAACGAUGCAUAGCCGACCUGAGAGGGUGAUGGGCCACGCUGGGACUGAGACACGGCCCAGACUCCUACGGGCGGCAGCAGUAGGGAAUCUUCCGCAAUGGACGAAAGUCUGACGGAGCAACGCCGCGUGAGUGAUGAAGGCUUUCGGGUCGUAAAACUCUGUUGUUAGGGAAGAACAAGUACAAGAGUAACUGCUUGUACCUUGACGGUACCUAACCGGAAAGCCACGGCUAACUACGUGCCAGCCGCCGCCGUAA